CCCUUAUUGCUGGAUGUUUGAUCAUUUAGCUCAUGUGGCAUUGUAAUUCUACGUCCCAGAUACGCUGGCGAAUUGUAGUCCUAGCUUUCUCGAAGCCUGUCGCUGUCAGGGUCUGCUGUGGGAUCCCCAAGCCUUUAAGCUUUUCCAGCAGUGUAGCUUUCCAUUUGGAUUGGUAGGUAUCUAUUUUUUUUUUUAAAUGAUAUUUAUUCCAAAUUUAAAAUUACAAAACAGAAAAAGAAAAACCCAUACAAAAUACAAAGAAAACUUUAACCGUAACAAAGCGUAGAAUGAACAAAUAAAAAAGAACAAUAAGAUAGAAUAUAAAAGAAGACUUAACAAAAAAUAUAAAAAUACAUUAAGUUAAAAUAAGACAAAAAACAGAUUAAACCUUUACUUAGCCUUUUUCCCUUUACUUAUUUCCAUGACCUCCUCUCACCUCCCAAUUUUGUAUUCUAUUUCAGAUCGUAUUUCCAGCAAAUCCUUCAAACCUUCUUUUCAUUUACGUAUUUUAAAAUUAAAAUAAUGUAAUUAAACCUCCUCUAUUUCAUCGAUUUCCACACCUCAUUUUUACUUAGUCCAUUAUAUCAUAUCUGCCAAAAUGACCUAAUAUUCUUUUUCCAACCUCUUUCCAACAUUCUUUUAUAUUACAGUAUUUUUGAAGAUAUAUUUUGAAUUUUUUCCAGUCUUCUUCCAUCGACCCUUCUCCCUGUGGAUUGGUAGGUAUCUAAUAAGGUUAAAGGUGCCAGC
This is a non-coding RNA of Podarcis lilfordi (Lilford's wall lizard), 747 nucleotides long. Lineage: Eukaryota; Metazoa; Chordata; Lepidosauria; Squamata; Lacertidae. The record is from the annotation of a GenBank genome assembly.